GGGCGGUUAGCGCAGCGGUAGCGCAUCUCCCUUACACGGAGGUGGUCGCAGGUUCGAAUCCUGCACCGCCCACCA
This 75-nucleotide transfer RNA is filed under the name Limisphaerales bacterium. RNAcentral describes it as "Verrucomicrobia subdivision 3 bacterium (hot springs metagenome) tRNA-Val". It matches the Rfam family "tRNA". From Rfam's summary of the family: Transfer RNA (tRNA) molecules are approximately 80 nucleotides in length. Their secondary structure includes four short double-helical elements and three loops (D, anti-codon, and T loops). Further hydrogen bonds mediate the characteristic L-shaped molecular structure. tRNAs have two regions of fundamental functional importance: the anti-codon, which is responsible for specific mRNA codon recognition, and the 3' end, to which the tRNAs corresponding amino acid is attached (by aminoacyl-tRNA synthetases). tRNAs cope with the degeneracy of the genetic code in two manners: having more than one tRNA (with a specific anti-codon) for a particular amino acid; and 'wobble' base-pairing, i.e. permitting non-standard base-pairing at the 3rd anti-codon position. Lineage: Bacteria; Pseudomonadati; Verrucomicrobiota; Verrucomicrobiia; Limisphaerales. The record is from RNAcentral.